Orcinus orca (killer whale) is the source of this 4345-nucleotide long non-coding RNA. RefSeq lists it as uncharacterized. The record is from RefSeq and is a predicted model, not a curated record. The transcript has 2 exons. Lineage: Eukaryota; Metazoa; Chordata; Mammalia; Artiodactyla; Delphinidae.
ACCUUUCGGCUUUACAGGAAGUGGACUUUUCCUUUACAUCACUCAGCAUGAACGUCUAUGUCUGAAAAGUUCGCAGUAAAUUAAAAAAAGAGGAACAGCAACAUGCUGGAAAAAUAGGAACCUCAAGAAAAUGAAGAGGGGUUGUUUGUGAGCCUUGAAUCUUCACCAAAUUCUAUGGAUAUAUCUAAGAAACAGACAGCCAAUGGCUUCUGUCCCAUUCUAUACCCAGUUUGGGUGGAGAAACCCAAGGGUCAGUGCAGAUGAUGUAAGCAUUACAAAGGGGAAAAAGAGGUGUGGGUCUGGGCUCCUGUGAUUGGAGAGGACAGUUGGAGGUUGUGUGGGGAAGGUGACUGUGGCCCUGAGGCCUACACAGGGACAGGAGACUGAAAAGAGCCCUGCAGGUCUGGACAACAUCACUUGCAAACACAGUUCCCUCAUGAGCCCUGAUGAGGACCAGCUUAAAAAGGGUCUGGACACAGUGACUUGCUUUUAACCAAUAAGGCAAAAGUGAUGGGAUGUCACUUCUGAGGGUAAGUUAUAGAAGACUGUAACCUCCAUCUUGCUCAGUCUCUGUGUGGCUUUUUCACUUUCUCACACUGAUGAACUCAGGCUUACUGUCCUAAGGAGAGACACACAUGACAAGUAACUGAGAGAUGCUUCUAGCCAACCAGUUGCCUGUGAGAAACUGAAUCCUGCCAACAACCACAUAAGUCAGUUCAAGAGCAGAACUUUCCCAGUUGAGACUUAAGAUGAUGGUAGCCCCAACAAACAUCUUGAUUGCAGCUUUAUGAGGAACCCUGAGCCAGAGCUGGAUCAUGGUUGGGUUUCUGACCCACAAAGAUGGAGAAAUAAUAAAUGUUGUAGUUUCUCUCCAUUAAGUUUUAGAGUAAUUUUUUAUGCAGCUACAGAUAGCUAAUACCAGCUAAUUGUUAACUGAUCACAUAUUCUACAGCACAUAGAUAUAUCUUAAGUUCAUGUGUGUUUUCUCCGAAUAAUAGACUUUUUUUAAUUUAAAAAGGAAAAUAUUAUUUAGGAAUGACAAUAUUUUUUAAAGAAAAAUAUAUUGUAAAUCCAAAAAUAUGUUUGUGCUUCACUGUCAUAGCUGUGGAGUAUACAGUUAGCCUUGAAAAGAUGGGUCUGUAAUUUACUUCUAUAAUUCUAAGAAGUUGUAGUCUUGGUUGACCCAGUCCAGGCUGUCAAAGUUAGAUUCUAUGAUAUACUUACAAGGGUGGCUGAAAAGGCCCUGUGCCCACUGGAUUUAAAAAUGGGGUGACUUUUUAUUUUGUCCUGGGAUCUUGAACCUAAGCAUCUAUGAUUAACUUCUAUAAUAAUGUUAGAACUGCCAGAUGAGCCUUUCCCUUGGAAACCUCUAAUUGCUACCUACAACAAAAAUCCAAUUAAAAACAAAAGGCUGCAUAAUUUGAGAAUGUUCUAAAAAGCUUAAAUGAGUUGCUCUUUAUGAUAAUAUCUGCUCUGUAUACUGAAUAAUAUUAUCUGGACCUCAUGAGGGCUAUAGAGCAAAUAUUGUAAGAAACCUAAGCAUUGCGUCCAAUGCUCACAGUGGGAAAAUACCAACUAUAAAUCUGUUUACAACUUUAUUACUUACCAAUCAAUUUGGUUCCUGCAGAAUGUUCCUUCAGGGAAUACAAAAAGUUAUGUUCUAAUUAAAGUAUAAUUAUAUAUCAAGGACAGAAGGGCAGGAAUCAUUUUACUUCUGAACUUCCUCACAUCAGAAUGGACGUGAAGAUGCUCCACUCUGAAAAUCUGAUACACACUUGAUAAUCUAACAGUACAUGUAGUACUUCUAUUGAAAUAUAGGUUUUUAUGAAAUGCUUUUAUUUCAAGUUAAUAACAAUUAAAUCUGAAGAGAUGCAAAGUGAAAUAGGGUAAGGUUUAUACUGAUUUCAAGACAUUUACAUUUUUCGUUGGAAUGCAUACUUUUUAGGUUUAUCACAUUUUGUUUUGUUAAAUACAAUCCCACAGUCAGUGUAAUUCAGUCAGUAACAUCCAGAGUUUACUAUCAAGACACAGAGGUUUUGUUUCUACCUUUCUGUCUCCUUGUGUCCAUACUAUCUUUAGUUACUCUGAGCAUCUCUCAGAGUUUUUGCAUUCUCUUAUGCCUGCCUAUUAUGUCCGCUUUCCUAACCAGUCCUAAUAUUUAUUGAUUUAUUCUUAUUUUUAUCUUAUGCAGUAUGGUGUCUCUCUGAUUUACUCCAUUUUUUGCUUCUAUGUGUUCAGUUGGUGCUUGGUAUCUAAUGAAUAAGUAUAUUGAGAACCACACACAGAGAAUUUUUGGAAUCAAGAAUGUAAUAAGAUGUCAAUAUUUACUCAUGCAGCCAGUGCCCGAGGAAGCCCUAACUUCUGUGCAUGUUUGCAUUUUCAUUGUUUAGAUGUAUGUAAUGGAUUUAAGCUUAUUUUAUUUUUUAAAUGAAGUGAAAAUUGUCACCAACUGCGUGUUUAUUAAAGUGUCAGAAGACAGGACAAAAUUAUGUGAAAGAAAAUGACUGUAAAAUGGGCAUGUUUUCCAUAGGACCUAUGUCUGCCUAGGGAAGCAUGAAAAUACAAAUGACCUCUGUCAUACUCUCAAAUAUCUUAGUGAGAAUGAAGCAUAAACCAAGACUUCUGCUAUUUCACUAAUUUCUCACCUCGAUUGCCAUGCCCAGAAACAUUCUACAUUGCCAGAUACAAAGCCCAAAUUCUUUUAUUCCUGUUUCUCUCCUGUGUUCAGAAGCUUUAAGACAUAGAAUAUAGCCUCUUGGAAUAUUUUCCAGGGGCUGGAUUUUGGAAAAGAGCAGUUUUGCAUACUUUUAAAACUGUUGGUGAGGCACAGACUCAACUGUUCAGAGAUUGAUUGACUCCAAUGAGGACAUAAACAUGGGCGUAAAUAAGGAAGAGAAGUUGAAUCCAAACCAGAGAAAGAAAAGCCGUUAUGGUACAUUCCCUCCUCCCUCCUUCCUGUUUCUGGUCUGUUCCUCAGGGCAAGGCAGUGCAGAGACCAUGCAUACAACCAAGGCAGCAGGUGACCCUUUCUGACGAGGAACUUUCUGGUAGUAGAGGAUAAAACUUGCACAAUUUUGAUUACAAUUAAAGAGCAUAUUACCAGGUAAGAUUUGUGGAUUUCUUUCAAGAAUAGAGAAAAAAAUACUUAAGUCAAAGUUUUCUAUAAAGAAACAAAAAUCACGUUUCUUUCAGACUUUUAGACUAUAAAAUUAUGGUACAAAAAAAAUGGAAGAAUAUUCAGAAAUAAGACAAGAAAAAUAUGUAUAACACAACACCUAAAUUAUGUAAGUUCCAUUAAUUAUAUCACCCAAUAAUCUAAUCUACUUAGAACUCUGAUGGUCAACACAUAAUUAUGCUAAUAGAGAAAUCAAGAAUGGUGGACAUAUACUAUAGAAGACAAAUGAUAACAAAGAAUGACAUUCAAUAGAUAUUGUUUCAUUUUUUAAGUUUAUAAAAGGAAACUAUAAAAGUGGUCAUAUUAGACAAAACUACUAGAAUAAAAAGCUCAAAAAUGGAAAAAAAAGAUCCAUAACAAUCACAAUAGCUUCACAUUCAUAAACACAAACCAGGGUCACCAGGCAUUUAAGAAAAGAGAAGGACUAUAAUGAUUUUAAAAAACCCAAAAAACAAAAACAAAGCAAAGCAAAACAAAACAUUUGCUGGAGGAAAUAAAUCAUCCAAGAAAAAAAAAAGUUUAAUUUGAACAUCUUCAGAGAGAUUUGAGCUGUCUGGUAUUAUUACUAAAAUAAGAAAAGGAUGGUGUGAAAAGGGAGCAAUAGGAAAAUAGUAAAGUACUUUUGGAAAUUAAAAUAUUGCCAUACUGAAAAGUUUAGUAAAAGGACUGACUGAUUAAAAAAAAAAAACAAAAACAGCCAAAGAUAGAAUCAAUGAUCUAGAAGAUGCUGAGAAACUCUCCAAAGGUGUUGAAGAAAAAGGAACAAUGAGAAAAUAUGAGAAAAACUUAGCAUCAUGGAUACCCUCAUCCAGGAACCCCAGUGUUCAUCUAGUAAGAUUUCUAGAAGGAGAAAACAAAAACAAACAAAAAAAGAAUGAAAAAUAAAAAGUUAGAAAAACAUCAAAGAACAAAAACAAUGUAAAUACAAUAAUAUAAAAUAUUCACAUGUUCACAUUGAAGUGAUCAAUUGGUCAUUGAUAAAGAUAACUCAAUAAAAAUAGAAAAGAUGCUUACCUGGACAUUCCUAGUGCAAUUUUAUAACUCCAGUUGUAAAGAGAUAAUAUUCUAAAAGCUGCCACAGGCAGGGAAGAAAUUAGCAGACAAACAAAUGACCACUUGGAUUAUGUAAGAUUUCUAAUCAGUAAAAAUAGCUUUUAAAAAAUAACAUAA